GUGCUCGCUUCGGCAGCACAUAUACUAAAAUUGGAACGAUACAGAGAAGAUUGGCAUCGCCCCUGCGCAAGGAUGACACGCAAAAAAGUACCCAGCAAAGCCAAGUGUUU
Cervus hanglu yarkandensis (Yarkand deer) is the source of this 110-nucleotide small nuclear RNA. The record is from Ensembl. Lineage: Eukaryota; Metazoa; Chordata; Mammalia; Artiodactyla; Cervidae.